CACAAGUUGGAUAAUGACAGCGACAAGGACAUUUUUAAGUUGGGGAGAAAAGAUCUUCUUCCGAAAGUGAAGGGAACCAAAACAAAACAAUAAUUGGUGUUGUAUAUUGACCGAUGAGAGCGUGAAAAGAGAGACCGGAUUGAUGCAAAUGUUGUCGUAUUGUUGCAGAGUACACCACUAUAGUGUUGCUAACAAUGGCAAACUUCAGACUGGGAGAUGAAGGUGAUUAUGCAUAUACCAUUACUGUGAGAUUCGCCGAUUAGCAAUGGAAGUUCGUUACCUGGUGUUGACAGGACAAAUCACUUCUUUGAAUGGAGAUUCAACUCAUAUUGAUGAUGACCAUGAGUUGAAGUAGGGUCUUCAACAAUUUUGUAAGGCCAACCCAUAUUCACUUAGGUCGUUGGGAGGCUGUCAUGAAAUUCGGUUGGUCGGGUUUGGGUUUUUCAGGAUUAGGUUUCGACAUUGACGAGAUAAUACAAGCAUGGCAUGAACUGUAUGAAAUGAAAAGAUGGCAAAGUGGCGUUCGUCUUUUCGAUUAGCGCCAUUGUUUAGAAGACGAGUUUUGGUUAUUGGUUCAAAGAAAAAAGUAUUGUGGAUGAAAUUUAAUAUAAGGGUGAACACAACAUACAUGUUUUGGAGAACAGUUAGAUGAAUAUAUCCGGGUUGCUAGCUUGGGAAGUGGGACUCAACAUAC
Long non-coding RNA from Helianthus annuus (common sunflower), 694 nucleotides. RefSeq lists it as uncharacterized. The record is from RefSeq and is a predicted model, not a curated record. The transcript has 7 exons. NCBI's taxonomy places the organism in Eukaryota, Viridiplantae, Streptophyta, Magnoliopsida, Asterales, Asteraceae.